GUGGCACCAGGAAUUUUCCAGGCUGGAAGCACCAGGAAAGAUCCCACAGGUGGAGCUGCAGUGGGCCAGGAACAAAAUCUGAGCGUGCUCUCCAGGACAUCAGCAAGGUCCCCUCUUGUCUGCCUGGAAAGGGACUUCUGGUAUUUUUGGGAAAUUGGGAGAUGCUGGGAAACAGAGAACUGAGGAAAGUGUGAUACAAAAUCCAAGAAUCUCUGGAAUUCCCUAUUUUAAUAUCUGUGAUAUUUUUCCACUUUGAAAGAGCAAAACCCUCAAAUCUGAACUCCACCAAAUGUCAGAAUGAACUGGGAACAAAAUGCAUUGCUCCAUUUCCAUCUUCUGCUUAAAAAACGAAUCCACAGAGGCCAAAUUCAAUGGAAUUUCACAAAACAUUUGCUUUUAAUGCAGCUGCAUAUGAAACUUCCACAAAUGAGAGCAGAAUUAUCCCUCUCUCAGCAUUCCCAGGUUCACAGACUCCAGAAAAUUAAAAGCUUCCCAGUAACUCUGUAACCUCUGGGCUGAAUUUGUCCUGCUCCCAUCCCUGCAGUGAAGUUCUGCACUUGGCCAUCAGCAUAAAAUCAUUAGAGCAGGGUAGGAAUAAAUUGAACUAUCCCAUUUCAGCCCAAUGUGAAAACCCAGGUCUUGGGAAAACGUUGGGAUUGCUGAAUUAUUUACAUGGCUCUGACAGCAAUGUUGAUUUUAGAGUCCUUUGUAGUCAAAUCUAAACACAAAUCUCUCUCUGUCUCAUGACAAGUGUUUAUUUUCCCACUCCUGAGCAGUUAAGCUGAAUCUCUUAAUUAUCUUUAAAUCAAAUAAUGCUGUUCCGACCUCGGGAGCUGAACUCAGCCCUCGUCACUCUUUGCUAAAUAUCAGGCAGAGGUUUUAUAAAACAUCUGUCUCCAGCCCACAUCACCCAGCUUUCAGUGCACUUUGUAGGAUUUCUGCAGAAAUCCAGAUUUAAAAUUAGCAGUUCUCAAGUAAAUACUUAUUUCUCUUGAAUAAGAGGAACAUAAAAAAAAAAGAUAAAGAGGUUUUUGGGGUUUUUUUUUUGUCUCUGACAAGUCUCAGGAGACAGAGAGCAUCUCCCAAUAUGUUUGUGUCUCUCUUUUUUUCCCCAUUGUUCCAUCAGCUCUCUUUUUUUCUGGAAAACCAAGACUAGACCCCCUCCCAGUCCCGUUAUUUUUGUGUUUGCAGGAGCUGUGGAUCCUUUUCAAGGAGGAUGUUUAGAAGUGCAGGCAAAUAAUAACCCGAAAUAGGAUCUUGAAAUGUCCAAACCCUUCAGCAUCUGGUUUCCUUUUGGUUUUCUCCUGCUGAAUUUCACCCAAAUUUUGUUUCCCUGGGACUGCAGGUGCUCAUUUCCAUCUUCCUUUUUUAUCCUCUGUCUUGCCAGGCUCUAUUAAUGAAUUUCUCCGUGGUCCUUUCCAAUCCCCCUCCCACAGCUGCUGAAUUUGAUCAUUUUUCCCUUUUCCCACUCUCCUCCUGCUUUCAGCUGCUCCACCUGGAUAACGUUUAUAAUUUUCCCUAUUUUCCACUGCAGGAUGCUUUGCUCAACUUCAGCUGAAAACCCUGGAAUUUGGGUUUUCUGAAGAGGAGUUGGUGAUGGAAACCAAGGGAUCCACACAGCAGCCACCAGGUGGGGAUCCCCCAGAGCUGCUGGGCUGCCCUGCUUUGGAUUUGUGCCAUUUGAAUGAUGCAGGAGCUGAUGUUUCCACAACAGAAGCAGCAGUUUGGGCACCGAAGGACAGGAAUGAAGCAAAUUUCAGAAUCAACGAGGAGCUCCUCGUUUGCAGUGAGUGAAAUGCAUCUCAAUUAUAAACCAGGGUAAACAAGUAAACAAACGAGAGAGGCCACGCAGGGGACGUGGGGGAGAGGAGCCCUUUCCCCUUUUCUCCCAUUAACUCCCCAUUUCCAUUUCUCUCUCGUUAAUGCUGAGCUUGGCACUCCAUUAUGGGCACUAAUUAGCUCCAGAUUUUGGCCUCCAGUUCGUUUUUGCACCGUAAUUAAUGCAGCAGCCAUGAGAGCCCCCAGGCUGAUGAUGAGGAGAGCUCCUGGAAGUGCUCAGAGCCAGCAGAAGCACAGAGCAGCCCAUCAGGAGCAGCUCCCACAUGGGAGGGCUCACAGGGGGCUGCUGGGUUUAAGUGUUUCAAUUAAUGAAACACAAGCAGGAUCAAUUAAUAAUAUUCAAAUGGAAGAUAGCAAUUAUUUUUUUUUUAAAGGAGGUUUUACCACUGGCAUAAUUAAAUCUUUUAUCUGCUGGGUAGAAAACCUACAUUUGUUAAAGCUGUGGAGUGAAACAGUGGCAAAACUUGGAGCUGCUCAGUGGAGUUUGUCAGGUUUCAAAUGUGCCACGGCGGGAAAAUCCCAGAAUCCCAGGCUGGAAGAGCCCUCCCAGCCCAUCCAGUCCCGCCUUGUCCCCAGCCCAGAGCUCUGAGUGCCACCUCCAGGGAUGGGGAUCCAAACCUCCCUUUCAGUAUUUACCAGCCCUCUCCCUCUGGGAGUGGGUGACUUUUCCCCACUGGAAUACCCAUUGGAAAAUGGAAUUACAGCUCAUUGAAAUCGGGCAAACAAUUCCCCCCCCUUCCCUGCUUUGUGUGUGAACAGCAGAGCUUUUUUUUUAGGUGUCAAAAGCAGAUUUGCUGCCCGGCAUCACGCGUUUGAUAACAAAGGGCUGGCAUGUGCACACUGUUCCUGUCACUCCUUCGGGUUCCUCUCCCAGGAGCAAAUGCCACCAACUCCCUCAGAGCAGCUGGGUCUGCCUCCCACCCUCCAGGCUGAGGGGAGAGUUCUGCUCCCCAGGAAUGGCUCACCCAGCCCUCCCUGCCUUUUGUCCUCCAAAUCCACAGUUUUGUGCCCUGGGAACUUCUGUACAGCCCCAAGGUGGUGCUGGGAAGCUGUGCUUACCUUAAGGUCUCCAUCCUGCUGAGAGAGCAAGCACCAGGUUCCACCGUGUUGUGUUCAGGAUCUGAGUGUCUUUCAGAGGCACCUGUGAGACCCCACCUGUCCAUUUCUUUACACAUCGCCAUCAAAUUUGCUGUGCAGAGCAAACAAAUAAGUUCAAACUUCUGAAGGUUGUGCCAUCUCUUGGUUGCCCCUGGGCCUGUCUAUUUUCUGCUCCAGAGGAGAUGACACAGUCCAUAAAUCUCUGCCCUCGUCCCUGCUUUGGUAAAUAAAAUCUGCUCAGAUUUAUGUCUGCUCCUUCCUGAGGAAAAGCAAAGCCGUGAUACAUGUGGCAAAUGGAACAGAAAAUUGCUUUUCACCCAUCAAGUUUCCAGUGUAACUGACUAAAGUUUGGGCUCUCCUACAGCAAUAACUGCUCUCACAAAAUAAACCCAAUUUUGUAGCACAAUUCUUCGUGCUAUGUUGAGGAAACCAAAAAUGUGCUUUGCCCAAUAAUUUAGCAAAUGGCUUCAAACUGAGAGAAGGUUUGGGUUGGAUAUUGGGGGGGAA
Long non-coding RNA from Motacilla alba alba, 3444 nucleotides. RefSeq lists it as uncharacterized. The record is from RefSeq and is a predicted model, not a curated record. The transcript is spliced from 3 exons. NCBI's taxonomy places the organism in Eukaryota, Metazoa, Chordata, Aves, Passeriformes, Motacillidae.